Molecule: ribosomal RNA, 237 nt
Filed under: uncultured bacterium
Lineage: Bacteria
Description: partial 16S ribosomal RNA
Rfam family: Bacterial small subunit ribosomal RNA
Source: RNAcentral
UGGCGAGCGGGUGAGUAACACGUGAGUAACCUGCCCUUGACUUUGGGAUAACUUCAGGAAACUGGGGCUAAUACCGGAUAGGAGCUCCUGCUGCAUGGUGGGGGUUGGAAAGUUUCGGCGGUUGGGGAUGGACUCGCGGCUUAUCAGCUUGUUGGUGGGGUAGUGGCUUACCAAGGCUUUGACGGGUAGCCGGCCUGAGAGGGUGACCGGCCACAUUGGGACUGAGAUACGGCCCAG